GGUACUGGAAGGUCCUCAGGCCGAAAGGGGCUCUGCCCGCCCGAGGAUGGGCCGGCGGCCGAUUAGGUAGUUGGUGGGGUAACGGCCCACCAAGCCGAAGAUCGGUACGGGCCAUGAGAGUGGGAGCCCGGAGAUGGACACUGAGACACGGGUCCAGGCCCUACGGGGCGCAGCAGGCGCGAAACCUCCGCAAUGCGGGCAACCGCGACGGGGGGACCCCCAGUGCCGUGGCAACGCCACGGCUUUUCCGGAGUGUAAAAAGCUCCGGGAAUAAGGGCUGGGCAAGGCCGGUGGCAGCCGCCGCGGUAAUACCGGCGGCCCGAGUGGUGGCCGCUAUUAUUGGGCCUAAAGCGUCCGUAGCCGGGCCCGUAAGUCCCUGGCGAAAUCCCACGGCUCAACCGUGGGGCUUGCUGGGGAUACUGCGGGCCUUGGGACCGGGAGAGGCCGGGGGUACCCCUGGGGUAGGGGUGAAAUCCUAUAAUCCCAGGGGGACCGCCAGUGGCGAAGGCGCCCGGCUGGAACGGGUCCGACGGUGAGGGACGAAGGCCAGGGGAGCGAACCGGAUUAGAUACCCGGGUAGUCCUGGCUGUAAAGGAUGCGGGCUAGGUGUCGGGCGAGCUUCGAGCUCGCCCGGUGCCGAAGGGAAGCCGUUAAGCCCGCCGCCUGGGGAGUACGGCCGC
RNAcentral lists this ribosomal RNA (680 nucleotides) under uncultured archaeon. RNAcentral's name for it is "bacterial SSU rRNA". It matches the Rfam family "Archaeal small subunit ribosomal RNA", at positions 166 to 844 of the family's 1478-position model. The record is from RNAcentral.